AUGAGCAAGAGGGGCAGGGAUGUGUGGGACAUGGAGCUGGGCAGCCUUGACACGGCCCGCGUGCUCAUGCUCCUCGCGCAGCAGCACCAGCACCACCACCGCGGCGUCGCCGGGGCAGCGCAGGCGAUGGGCGGCGGCCGCGUGUUCGAGUGCAAGACGUGCAACCGGCAGUUCCCCACGUUCCAGGCGCUCGGGGGGCACCGCGCCAGCCACAAGCGCCCCAAGCUGCAGCACCCGCAGCUGCACGCGGUUGGCAACGCCGACGACGGCGCGGCGCUCUGCCUCGGCCGCCAGAUGCCCCCGGUGCCGCCAAGGCCGAGGGUGCACGUGUGCCCCGUCUGCGGGCUCCAGUUCGCCGUCGGCCAGGCGCUGGGUGGGCACAUGCGCCGGCACCGUGUUGAGGCCGAGGCCGCGGCCACAUGCGCCGGCGGGAUCUGCCUGGGCCUGAACCUGACGCCUUCGGAGAACUGCGCCAAGUGUAGGAGCGUGGCGGGGCUCGGCGCUGCUACCGGGCAGGGUGUACAUAAGGCGCUGAGCGGGCACAUGCGCCGGCACACCGCCGAUGCCGAGGCCCACGAGCCGAGCGAGAAGGAAUGUUUGGAUAAGUUGGGAAAAAGAUAA
Molecule: ribosomal RNA, 621 nt
Filed under: Triticum aestivum (bread wheat)
Lineage: Eukaryota; Viridiplantae; Streptophyta; Magnoliopsida; Poales; Poaceae
Description: partial small subunit ribosomal RNA
Source: RNAcentral